This 253-nucleotide ribosomal RNA is filed under the name uncultured bacterium. RNAcentral's name for it is "partial 16S ribosomal RNA". It matches the Rfam family "Bacterial small subunit ribosomal RNA", at positions 524 to 776 of the family's 1533-position model. The record is from RNAcentral.
UACGAGUGCUCCAAGCGUUAUCCGGAAUCAUUGGGCGUAAAGGGUGUGUAGGUGGUUGUGUUAGUCUUUUGUUAAAUUCUUCGGCUUAACCGGGGACAUGCAAAAGAAACGGCACGACUAGAGGAUGCGAGAGGCACAGGGAACUCAUGGAGUAGGGGUGAAAUCCGUUGAUAUCAUGGGGAACACCGAAAGCGAAGGCACUGUGCUGGCGCACUCCUGACACUGAGACACGAAAGCGUAGGUAGCGAAUGGG